AAAUAACCACAGGAAAUCAGGAAACAAUGCAUGAACAGGAUGUAUCAAUGAGGAGAUUAAAAACUGUGCAAAAGAAUGAAAUUUAUUCUGGGCCUGCAAAAUACAAUAACUGACCUGAGAAACUCAUAAAGAGCAGCAGAAGAUUUGAUCAGGCAGAAGAAUUAGAAAAUCAAAGUCAGGGAGCAAAACAAAGGAGAAAAGCAAACAGGCUUUGAGGGACUCACUGGGGGCUGACAGAGGACCCACGCCAUGCAUGUGGAACCGAGAAUUUACUUGAAGAAAUAAUGGCUUAAGAAAACCCCAAAUCUGAAGAAAGAAAUGGGCAUGCAAAUUCGUGGAACUCAAAGAACUCCAACAGAAUAAAUCAACAGAAAACUACACAGACAAGCCAUAAUUAGAUUGUCUAAAAGUCAAAGAUAAUCUCGAAAGCAGCAAGACAAAACCAGUAGCUCAUACACAGCGGCUUCCAAAAAGGUCUCGGAGGAUUUCUCAAGGGACUCUCUGGGCCAGGCCGAGUGAGAUGUUGAAGGGCUGAAAGGUGAAGAAUACAUGGCUGGGCAAAACUGUCCUGAGAAACUGAAGGAGAGGGCUGAGAUGUGGCUCUGCCCUGGACCAGCAUGUGGGAGAUUCUGGGUUUCAUGCCAAAGACCACAAAAAGAAGAAAGAGGAGGAGCUUGGUCAGGAAGAGGGAGGAAAGGCCAGGAUCGGGAAAGAGAAAUGAAGAUUUCUCCAGAUCAGCAACAUCGAAGGGACUUCAUUACCACUAGCUCUGCUAACAAAACAAAACAACGACAACAAAAUUAUGGAGAGACUCUUUCAAGUUGAAAUGAAAGAAUGACAAACAGGAAGACAAACCGCAUGAUAAGGUCUGAGGAAAUGGACAGCCAUUGUGAAGAUAACAAGAUAUAACAUGGCAGCCACUGUUGACCACCUAUUGUCCUGUUCUGAAGGGAACUGCUCACCCCUGCUGUGCCCACAAUGCCAGCUGCUGCCGGGUGGGGGACCACACAAGGCAUGGCGAGUUCCUGUCCUGGAGGUGGCAUCAGAAUGGGCCACCACAAGCCAGCAGCGUUCCUCCUGAUUCAAACACAGCUGCCCCACGAUGGUUUGGCCCGAAGGAGAACCCGGGAGGAAAUGAGAAGCCCAGCUCGGAACAGCUUGAUCCCAGCUGCUUAACUCAGCACCUCGUGCCUCAGUUUAUCUAUUUGUAAAAGAGACCCUGCUCCCAGUCCCCCUUGCAUGAGCUUGAAAGGACAUGUAAAAUAGUAGAGGCCCCCUGUACUCUCAAUGGCUUACCCUACACACGCCAGGCACAGAAAUUAAAGGUACUACACGUUUUAAGUGUAA
This is a long non-coding RNA of Cavia porcellus (domestic guinea pig), 1347 nucleotides long. RefSeq lists it as uncharacterized. The record is from RefSeq and is a predicted model, not a curated record. The transcript has 3 exons. NCBI's taxonomy places the organism in Eukaryota, Metazoa, Chordata, Mammalia, Rodentia, Caviidae.